AAACUGGGUUAGUAAGAGCUGGAGA
RNAcentral lists this non-coding RNA (25 nucleotides) under Cricetulus griseus (Chinese hamster). The record is from RNAcentral. Lineage: Eukaryota; Metazoa; Chordata; Mammalia; Rodentia; Cricetidae.